UACGUAGGUGGCAAGCGUUGUCCGGAUUCAUUGGGCGUAAAGGGCUAGUAGGCGGCUUAGCAAGUCGGGUGUGAAAACUUCAGGCUCAACCUGGAGCGGCCAUCCGAUACUGCUAUGGCUAGAGUCCGGUAGGGGACCACGGAAUUCCUGGUGUAGCGGUGAAAUGCGCAGAUAUCAGGAGGAACACCGGUGGCGAAGGCGGUGGUCUGGGCCGGAACUGACGCUGAAUAGCGAAAGCGUGGGUAGCGAACAGG
RNAcentral lists this ribosomal RNA (254 nucleotides) under uncultured bacterium. RNAcentral describes it as "partial 16S ribosomal RNA". It matches the Rfam family "Bacterial small subunit ribosomal RNA", at positions 524 to 776 of the family's 1533-position model. The record is from RNAcentral.